RNAcentral lists this ribosomal RNA (1485 nucleotides) under uncultured prokaryote. RNAcentral's name for it is "partial 16S ribosomal RNA". It matches the Rfam family "Bacterial small subunit ribosomal RNA". The record is from RNAcentral.
GAUUAGAGUUUGAUCCUGGCUCAGAACGAACGCUGGCGGCGUGGAUAAGACAUGCAAGUUGAGGGAUGAACUGACGAUAGCAAUAUCAGACGGGAUUAGCAGCGAACGGGUGAGUAACACGUAGGAAUAUGCCCCAAAGUUCGGAAUAGCCCGGUGAAAGCCGGGGUAAUACCGGAUGUGAUCUUCGGAUUAAAGGCUUCGGUCGCUUCAGGAUAAGCCCGCGUCCUAUCAGCUAGUUGGAGGGGUAACGGCCCACCAAGGCAAUGACGGGUAGCUGGUUUGAGAGGAUGGUCAGCCACACUGGAACUGAGACACGGUCCAGACACCUACGGGUGGCAGCAGUCGAGAAUCAUUCACAAUGGGCGAAAGCCUGAUGGUGCGACGCCGCGUGGGGGAUGAAGGUCCUAGGAUCGUAAACCCCUGUCAUCUGCAAACAAACCUCCUGGUUGAAUAUUCCGCUGAUAGUAGCAGAAGAGGAAGGGACGGCUAACUCCGUGCCAGCAGCCGCGGUAAUACUGAGGUCCCAAGCGUUGUUCGGAUUCACUGGGCGUAAAGGGUGCGUAGGCGGUAUGAUAAGUUUGAUGUGAAAGCUCCAGGCUCAACCUGGAAAUUGCAUUGGAUACUAUCAAACUAGAGGAUCGGAGAGGAGACUGGAAUUCUUGGUGUAGCAGUGAAAUGCGUAGAUAUCAAGAGGAACAUCAGUGGCGAAGGCGAGUCUCUGGACGAUUCCUGACGCUGAGGCACGAAGGCUAGGGGAGCAAACAGGAUUAGAUACCCUGGUAGUCCUAGCAGUAAACGGUGUGCACUUGCUGUAGGCGGAUUCGACCCCGUCUGUGGCGGAGCUAACGCGUUAAGUGCACCGCCUGGGGAGUACGGUCGCAAGAUUAAAACUCAAAGAAAUUGACGGGGGCCUGCACAAGCGGUGGAGUAUGUGGCUUAAUUCGAUGCAACGCGAAGAACCUUACCUGGGCUUGACAUGUAAGUGAAAGAUCUGAAAGGUGAAUGACCCUCUUUGAGGGAGCUUACACAGGUGCUGCAUGGCUGUCGUCAGCUCGUGUCGUGAGAUGUUGGGUUAAGUCCCGCAACGAGCGCAACCCUCAUGUUCUGUUGCCACCCAAACGAGAAGUUUGGAGCACUCCGAACAGACUGCCCCAUUUUAAUGGGGAGGAAGGUGGGGAUGACGUCAAGUCAGUAUGGCCCUUAUGUCCAGGGCUGCACACGUACUACAAUGCCCGGCACAAUGGGAAGCAAGACCGCAAGGUGGAGCCAAUCCCCAAAACCGGGCUCAGUUCAGAUUGUCGGCUGCAACUCGCCGGCAUGAAGGAGGAAUCGCUAGUAAUGGCGCAUCAGCUACGGCGCCGUGAAUACGUUCCCAGGCCUUGUACACACCGCCCGUCACAUCAUGAAAGCCGACGGUACCCGAAGUCUGCGCGCUAACCCGCAAGGGAAGCAGUGGCCGAAGGUAUGAAGUCGUAACAAGGUACC